Molecule: ribosomal RNA, 221 nt
Filed under: Panthera tigris (tiger)
Lineage: Eukaryota; Metazoa; Chordata; Mammalia; Carnivora; Felidae
Description: partial 12S ribosomal RNA
Source: RNAcentral
CCUAAACCUAGAUAGUUAACCCAAACAAAACUAUCCGCCAGAGAACUACUAGCAACAGCUUAAAACUCAAAGGACUUGGCGGUGCUUUAUAUCCCUCUAGAGGAGCCUGUUCCAUAAUCGAUAAACCCCGAUAAACCUCACCAUCUCUUGCUAAUUCAGCCUAUAUACCGCCAUCUUCAGCAAACCCUGAAAAGGAAGAAAAGUAAGCACAAGUAUCUUAA